Molecule: non-coding RNA, 132 nt
Organism: Triticum aestivum (bread wheat)
Lineage: Eukaryota; Viridiplantae; Streptophyta; Magnoliopsida; Poales; Poaceae
Source: Rfam
CUCCUACUCCCUCCGUCCGAAAAAGCUUGUCCCUCAAAUGGAUGUAUCUAGCACUAGCACCAAGUUAGUGCUAGAUACAUCCGUUUGAGGAACAAGCUUGGGACAAGCUUUUUCGCACUGAGGGAGUACAUG